UUGUAUGCCUAGACUAGUUGUAGAAUUGUUCCAGUAACUUAUCUAGAAUAAUUUUUAUUUUGAAUAGUUUAAUUUAAAUUCUAUUUUUCAAAUAUUACAUGUGAUAUAUCAGAUCUGAAAGCAUGUUAAUUAGAUCAAUUUUUGAUACAUGAGAUGUGUUGGUGCAAAAAUCCGCCUGCACCGGAGAAGCUGGAGUUGUGGGGGUUGCGGUCACCGCC
Molecule: long non-coding RNA, 218 nt
Filed under: Elaeis guineensis (African oil palm)
Lineage: Eukaryota; Viridiplantae; Streptophyta; Magnoliopsida; Arecales; Arecaceae
Description: long non-coding RNA (EGUI_LNC059021)
Source: RNAcentral